Long non-coding RNA from Nyctereutes procyonoides (raccoon dog), 707 nucleotides. RefSeq lists it as uncharacterized. The record is from RefSeq and is a predicted model, not a curated record. NCBI's taxonomy places the organism in Eukaryota, Metazoa, Chordata, Mammalia, Carnivora, Canidae. The transcript is spliced from 3 exons.
UGGUGGUUUCAGGGAAGGUUUCAUGGGAGGAGACUGAGAAGAAUGGUCCUUGAGCCCCUCACUAAGCAAAAUACCACUGGUUCUGAAUUCUGCCAAAGUUCAGCUCUUCAGCUCAUGGUGCUGCUGCCUCGUGGUCACCCUCCAUUCCCAGCUACAUCUAGGAGCUGUUGACCAGAAGUGAUGAAGCAGGACAUGUGACAGCUGAUUCACAGGAGUUACUGGGCACACUUGAAUACUAUAGGGGACCUAACUGGCAAAGCAAGAGAAAGGCUCAGAAACCAUGCACACUACCCAGGAAUGAAGAGAAAGGAAGAGAAGAAGGAAGGUAAGGAUUUUAUUAGUGUCUCAGGCAAGAACUACUGAUACUUGCACUUCUCUACUCCACUUUGAAACAAUGGUUUAUUAGUUUGCAUGCAGUUUAUUAAACACAGAGAAAAACCAUCAACUUAUCUGUUUAGUGUGGUUCAUUGCAGGAGAAUAAGAUAACGAUUUCUGCCCAUUCAGUGCUAGUCCCCCAAUAUUUGCUAAGUGACAGACAGUGCUACUAAUGCUGAGGGUGUGGUGAUAUGCCAGUUCUUAAGAAAUGUGAUCCACUGGAGGAAAUCCUCAUGAACCAACAGAAUCACUGUCAUAAGACUAAAAGAAAUAUUUGCAGGCAGCCUGGGUGGCUCAGCAGUUCAGCACUGCCUUUGGCCCAGGGUGUGAUC